RNAcentral lists this ribosomal RNA (466 nucleotides) under uncultured bacterium. RNAcentral's name for it is "bacterial SSU rRNA". It matches the Rfam family "Bacterial small subunit ribosomal RNA", at positions 329 to 792 of the family's 1533-position model. The record is from RNAcentral.
CGCCAGACUCCUACGGGAGGCAGCAGUGAGGAAUAUUGGUCAAUGGCCGAGAGGCUGAACCAGCCAAGUCGCGUGAGGGAAGACGGCCCUACGGGUUGUAAACCUCUUUUGUCGGGGAGCAAAGAGAGUCACGUGUGACUCAUUGAGAGUACCCGAAGAAAAAGCAUCGGCUAACUCCGUGCCAGCAGCCGCGGUAAUACGGAGGAUGCGAGCGUUAUCCGGAUUUAUUGGGUUUAAAGGGUGCGUAGGCGGACUGGAAAGGAGGGGGAGAAAGUGGGGGGCCCACCCCCGCGCCCGCCGUUGAAACUGACGGUCUUGAGUGGGCGAGAAGUAUGCGGAAUGCGUGGUGUAGCGGUGAAAUGCAUAGAUAUCACGCAGAACUCCGAUUGCGAAGGCAGCAUACCGGCGCCCAACUGACGCUGAAGCACGAAAGCGUGGGUAUCGAACAGGAUUAGAUACCCCAGUA